UCACGGACUGUAAAAAAAGAGAUGGGUUGGUUUUUGUUAUUUUUUCUUUUUUCUUUUUUUUUAAUUUUUAUUUUUGAUGGCAUUUUUUUCUCCUGCUUUUAGGACACAUUGUAGUAGGAAACCAAUGGAGGAAAACAAAGUACUUUUGGGGAUUUUCCAUGCCGUGAAGAGACCGGGAGAUGGCGGCUUCAACCCCUGCGAAGGAGAAAAGCGGUGGAAAAGCACAGAAUUAGGCAUAAAACUACCCACCUUGGGGGUGCGUGUGGUGUGGAAAGCUUAAUUCAGGGCCAAAACCCUUCAUCUGUGAGGGGAACAAAUAACAU
Molecule: long non-coding RNA, 323 nt
Organism: Passer domesticus (house sparrow)
Lineage: Eukaryota; Metazoa; Chordata; Aves; Passeriformes; Passeridae
Exons: 2
Source: RefSeq, a predicted model, not a curated record